RNAcentral lists this ribosomal RNA (465 nucleotides) under uncultured bacterium. RNAcentral describes it as "partial 16S ribosomal RNA". It matches the Rfam family "Bacterial small subunit ribosomal RNA", at positions 28 to 507 of the family's 1533-position model. The record is from RNAcentral.
GACGAACGCUGGCGGCGUGCUUAACACAUGCAAGUCGUACGGUAAGGCCCUUUCGGGGGUCCACGAGUGGCGAACGGGUGAGUAACACGUGAGUAACCUGCCCACAACUUUGGGAUAACGCUAGGAAACUGGUGCUAAUACUGGAUAUGUGCUCCUGCUGCAUGGUGGGGGUUGGAAAGCUCCGGGGGUUGUGGAUGGACUCGCGGCCUAUCAGCUUGUUGGUGGGGUAGUGGCCUACCAAGGCGGCGACGGGUAGCCGGCCUGAGAGGGUGACCGGCCACAUUGGGACUGAGAUACGGCCCAGACUCCUACGGGGGGCAGCAGGGGGGAAUAUUGCACAAUGGGCGCAAGCCUGAUGCAGCAACGCCGCGUGCGGGAUGACGGCCUUCGGGUUGUAAACCGCUUUCAGCAGGGACGAAGCUUUUUGUGACGGUACCUGCAGAAGAAGCACCGGCUAACUACGUG